CCGAGGGAACUAUGGCAAUGACCAUGACCACUGCAGUGGCGUCGCCGUCCCGCCGGCUGCUUAUCGACUCUCGCUAUAGUACCGUCAGCACUAUCCCCAAGAAUGUGGCAAUUUACCCAGCAACAGCAGUUACAAAUAAGGGGCUAUUGAAGCACUGUAUAUCCUCGCAAGGAUGCGUAAGAUCUCUGGUGAAACCAGUAUCGGCUGCUAGUUCAGGGCUAGAGGCAGAUUUGGCUGAUGAACGCCUUAAAAAUGCAAAGAUAGUUGUUGAAUCCAAAGAAGCUGAGAAGAUACAAGUCAGAGUAGAUGUGAACGAGGAGUACACAGAAAUGGUUUUCGACAGCGUUUUGACAAAAUUAGCAAAAUCAGAGCAACCAAUUCCAGGCUUCCGCAGGGAAAAAGGAGGGAAAACAUCCCAGGUUCCUAGGGAAUUUCUACCGCAGAUACUUGGUGAAGAGCGAGUUACCAAUUCUGUAAUACGAGAAAUUAUCAACUUAACUCUUGCUGAUUAUGUGAAGAAGGAGAAUUUGGCGGUGAAGGAUAACAAGAUUAGCAUCACACAAACUGCGGAUGAACUCAUGUCAUCCUUUGCUCCGGGAACUGAAUUCGGGUUCAACGCCAUCUUAGAACUUGAAAAAUCAAAAACUGAAGCCACCACAUAAACCCACAGAAGAAGAUUUUGCAACAAAUCUAAGAAAGGCAGAGGGGGAGAUACAAAUUUUUACAUGUGGACAUGAAAACUAAGCAUGGUAGUAAAAUUUUCCAUUGUCAUUCCUGAUGACAUGGUGAGAGUUGUAGUUCCUGGGUCUAGAGAUAUUGUUAACUAUUGUGGCUUGAUUAUGCGGCACACUAUAUUGUUCAGAGAUGAUAAUUGGCAGGCAAUAAUUACAAAAACAUGGAGAAGCGAUGUAGUUGAAGGUUAAGGUAACAAUUUACUUUCAAUGUCAAAUUAACUUCUUGUUGCAUGUGUUAUUACUUUCAAUAGUUUUACAUAUUUUAUCAGGAUAAACUUGAAACUAGUGGUAUGCGAGAACAUGUGUUGCAAGCCAUUGUGAUUGACAGUCUGACACUAUGCAAAGGCUUUUUAGAGCAUGGAACACUCGAUGCAUGCUGACUACUCCCGUUAUGCCACUGAUAAAGAGAGACCUUCCAUAAACUGUAUGAUGUUACACCUGAUGACUGGGUGUUUCUUGUAGGACUUUUUAGAAGUCCCGCAUUCAAGGUUAUGAAUGAGUGGAACAAGCUAACCGGGAAAAACAAAUAACUAAGCACUCUUGUGGCUCAAAGUCAUUUACAGAAGUGAAGGAAUCAUUGCUCCAGGAAAUUGUGGCUCAACAGCAAUCUGAAGAAAAUG
This is an RNA transcript of Solanum verrucosum, 1354 nucleotides long. RefSeq lists it as uncharacterized. NCBI's taxonomy places the organism in Eukaryota, Viridiplantae, Streptophyta, Magnoliopsida, Solanales, Solanaceae. The record is from RefSeq and is a predicted model, not a curated record. The transcript is spliced from 4 exons.